RNAcentral lists this small RNA (30 nucleotides) under Bombyx mori (domestic silkworm). Its description in RNAcentral is "ovarian small RNA-16867". Lineage: Eukaryota; Metazoa; Arthropoda; Insecta; Lepidoptera; Bombycidae. The record is from RNAcentral.
GCGCAGGUACGUGGCGCUGAUCGACAGCAA